This is a small nuclear RNA of Cervus hanglu yarkandensis (Yarkand deer), 133 nucleotides long. NCBI's taxonomy places the organism in Eukaryota, Metazoa, Chordata, Mammalia, Artiodactyla, Cervidae. The record is from Ensembl.
AAAAAGGGGGGCUUCUGUUACAAGUGCCACAGGUAGGGCAGUUUGUCCUUCCUGAGGAAUUGAUAUCAAGAAAUUUCAGAAGCAUAAUUUUUUUGUACUUAGGCAGCUCGUAGUCAUCGUUUCUGGUACCCCA